GACGAACGCUGGCGGCGUGCUUAACACAUGCAAGUCAGGGGGGGCCCCCCUUUCGGGGGGGCAACCGGCGAACGGGUGCGUAACACGUGAGCGACCUGCCCGACUGCGGGGGAUAGCCGGCCCAACGGCCGGGUAAUACCGCAUACGCUCGGCCCCGGGCAUCCGGGGGCGAGGAAACCCCCCGUCGGGGGGCGGGACGGAGGGGCGUCGCGGCCUAUCAGCUAGUUGGUGCGGU
Molecule: ribosomal RNA, 235 nt
Filed under: uncultured bacterium
Lineage: Bacteria
Description: partial 16S ribosomal RNA
Rfam family: Bacterial small subunit ribosomal RNA
Source: RNAcentral